RNAcentral lists this ribosomal RNA (497 nucleotides) under uncultured bacterium. RNAcentral's name for it is "partial 16S ribosomal RNA". It matches the Rfam family "Bacterial small subunit ribosomal RNA", at positions 28 to 507 of the family's 1533-position model. The record is from RNAcentral.
GAUGAACGCUGGCGGCGUGCCUAAUACAUGCAAGUCGAGCGAACGGACGAGAAGCUUGCUUCUCUGAUGUUAGCGGCGGACGGGUGAGUAACACGUGGAUAACCUACCUAUAAGACUGGGAUAACUUCGGGAAACCGUAGCUAAUACCGGAUAAUAUUUUGAACCGCAUGGUUCAAAAGUGAAAGACGGUCUUGCUGUCACUUAUAGAUGGAUCCGCGCUGCAUUAGCUAGCUGGUAAGGUAACGGCUUACCAAGGCAACGAUGCAUAGCCGACCUGAGAGGGUGAUCGGCCACACUGGAACUGAGACACGGUCCAGACUCCUACGGGAGGCAGCAGUAGGGAAUCUUCCGCAAUGGGCGAAAGCCUGACGGAGCAACGCCGCGUGAGUGAUGAAGGUCUUCGGAUUGUAAAACUCUGUUAUUAGGGAAGAACAUAUGUGUAAGUAACUGUGCACAUCUUGACGGUACCUAAUCAGAAAGCCACGGCUAACUACGUG